RNAcentral lists this ribosomal RNA (829 nucleotides) under Cosmospora cymosa. RNAcentral describes it as "eukaryotic LSU rRNA". It matches the Rfam family "Eukaryotic large subunit ribosomal RNA", at positions 74 to 935 of the family's 3401-position model. Lineage: Eukaryota; Fungi; Ascomycota; Sordariomycetes; Hypocreales; Nectriaceae. The record is from RNAcentral.
AUUGCCCCAGUAACGGCGAGUGAAGCGGCAACAGCUCAAAUUUGAAAUCUGGCCCUCGGGUCCGAGUUGUAAUUUGUAGAGGAUGCUUUUGGUGCGGUGCCUUCCGAGUUCCCUGGAACGGGACGCCAUAGAGGGUGAGAGCCCCGUCUGGUUGGACACCAAGCCUCUGUAAAGCUCCUUCGACGAGUCGAGUAGUUUGGGAAUGCUGCUCUAAAUGGGAGGUAUAUGUCUUCUAAAGCUAAAUACCGGCCAGAGACCGAUAGCGCACAAGUAGAGUGAUCGAAAGAUGAAAAGCACUUUGAAAAGAGGGUUAAAUAGUACGUGAAAUUGUUGAAAGGGAAGCGCUUGUGACCAGACUUGAGCCCGGUUAAUCAUCCAGCCUUCUGGCUGGUGCACUUGGCCGGCUCAGGCCAGCAACAGUUCGGCGCGGGGGAUAAAGGCUUCGGGAAUGUGGCUCCUCCGGGAGUGUUAUAGCCCGCUGCGCAAUACCCUGCGCUGGACUGAGGUUCGCGCAUCUGCAAGGAUGCUGGCGUAAUGGUCAUCAGCGACCCGUCUUGAAACACGGACCAAGGAGUCGUCUUCGUAUGCGAGUGUUCGGGUGUCAAACCCCUACGCGUAAUGAAAGUGAACGCAGGUGAGAGCUUCGGCGCAUCAUCGACCGAUCCUGAUGUUCUCGGACGGAUUUGAGUAAGAGCAUACGGGGCCGGACCCGAAAGAAGGUGAACUAUGCCUGUAUAGGGUGAAGCCAGAGGUUGCUCUGGUGGAGGCUCGCAGCGGUUCUGACGUGCAAAUCGAUCGUCAAAUAUGGGCAUGGGGGCGAAAGACUAAU